AGAGUUUGAUCAUGGCUCAGGAUGAACGCUGGCGACGUGGAUAAGGCAUGCAAGUCGAACGGAACUUUACAAAUUCGAGAUUGAGAUUACAUCAAGGUCAAAGGUCGGUAAAGUUUAGUGGCAGACGAGGUAGUAAUAUAUAGGAACAUCCCCCAAGGUCAGGAAUAACUAUCCGAAAGGAUAGCUAAUACUUGAUAUCACGCAAGUGGAAAGAUUUAUCGCCAUGGGAUUGGCCUGUACGGUAUCAGCUAGUUGGUAAGGUAAAAGCUUACCAAGGCUAUGACGCCUAGGAGAGGUGAGAGCCUGACCUCCACCGAUGGGACUGAGACACGGCCCAUACACCUACGGGUGGCUGCAGUCGAGAAUAUUCCGCAAUGGACGCAAGUCUGACGGAGCGACGUCGCGUGACUGAUGAAGUGCUUCGGUAUGUAAAAGUCUUUUAUGUGGGAGGAACGAUGACGUUACCACAUGAAUAAGGGGUUGCCAAACUCGUG
This 494-nucleotide ribosomal RNA is filed under the name uncultured bacterium. RNAcentral's name for it is "bacterial SSU rRNA". It matches the Rfam family "Bacterial small subunit ribosomal RNA", at positions 8 to 507 of the family's 1533-position model. The record is from RNAcentral.